UGGCUCAGAACGAACGUUGAUGGCGUGCCUCAUACAUGCAAGUCGAGCGCCCCGCAAGGGGAGCGGCGGACGGGUGAGUAACACGUAAAGAAUCUGCCCGAAAGUGGGGAAUAACUAUUCCAACGGAUAGCUAAUACCGCAUAAUGAUGGAGGGGGCAUCCCCUUUUCUCAAAAGGCUUCGGCCGCUUUCGGAUGACUUUGCGUCCCAUUAGCUUGUUGGCGGUGUAACGGACCACCAAGGCGACGAUGGGUAUCCGGCCUGAGAGGGUGUACGGACACAUUGGGACUGAGAUACGGCCCAGACUCCUACGGGAGGCAGCAGUAGGGAAUUUUGCGCAAUGGGGGAAACCCUGACGCAGCAACGCCAUGUGUGGGAUGAAGCAUUUCGGUGUGUAAACCACUGUCAGCAGGGAAUAAACGGCAGCUUUGGGCUGCUUUGAAUGUACCUGCAAAGGAAGCCCCGGCUAACUUCGUGCCAGCAGCCGCGGUAAUACGAGGGGGGCAAAUGUUGUUCGGAAUCACUGGGCGUAAAGGGAGCGUAGGCGGGUUUCUAAGUCAGGUGUUUAAUCCCGGGGCCCAACCCCGGACAGGCACUUGAAACUGGGAAUCUUGAAUAGGGGAGAGGUCAGUGGAAUUGGAGGUGUAGCGGUGGAAUGCGUAGAGAUCUCCAAGAACACCAGUUGCGAAGGCGGCUGACUGGACCCAUAUUGACGCUGAGGCUCGAAAGCAUGGGGAGCAAACAGGAUUAGAUACCCUGGUAGUCCAUGCCAUAAACGAUGAAUACUAGGUUUUGGGCCCGUCAACGGUCCAGAGCCGCAGCUAACGCGUUAAGUAUUCCGCCUGGGGAGUACGGUCGCAAGACUGAA
This 866-nucleotide ribosomal RNA is filed under the name uncultured bacterium. Its description in RNAcentral is "bacterial SSU rRNA". It matches the Rfam family "Bacterial small subunit ribosomal RNA", at positions 20 to 898 of the family's 1533-position model. The record is from RNAcentral.